RNAcentral lists this transfer RNA (90 nucleotides) under Aurantimonas endophytica. RNAcentral's name for it is "tRNA-Ser". It matches the Rfam family "tRNA". From Rfam's summary of the family: Transfer RNA (tRNA) molecules are approximately 80 nucleotides in length. Their secondary structure includes four short double-helical elements and three loops (D, anti-codon, and T loops). Further hydrogen bonds mediate the characteristic L-shaped molecular structure. tRNAs have two regions of fundamental functional importance: the anti-codon, which is responsible for specific mRNA codon recognition, and the 3' end, to which the tRNAs corresponding amino acid is attached (by aminoacyl-tRNA synthetases). tRNAs cope with the degeneracy of the genetic code in two manners: having more than one tRNA (with a specific anti-codon) for a particular amino acid; and 'wobble' base-pairing, i.e. permitting non-standard base-pairing at the 3rd anti-codon position. Lineage: Bacteria; Pseudomonadati; Pseudomonadota; Alphaproteobacteria; Hyphomicrobiales; Aurantimonadaceae. The record is from RNAcentral. RNAcentral also lists the same sequence under 3 other names.
GGAGAGGUGGCCGAGUGGUCGAAGGCGCUCCCCUGCUAAGGGAGUAUACCAGCGAUGGUAUCGAGGGUUCGAAUCCCUUCCUCUCCGCCA